CUCAUCAGGAAAGGUCAGGAGGAAUGACAUUUUUCAUAGUCAGUCUAGUUUAAAACCUGGCAAUGGUUCAUGCAUAACAACAGCAACAAUUUGCAUUUAUAUAGCACCUUCCAUCCCUUAGGAUCCCGGAGUGCUUUAUAAACCAUGUGUGGGAAUAACUUCACUGAAAUGACUGUUAAAAAUCCCCCUUGAAGCCCCUCAGACUGGGGUACUGUGAAGCUCUUAUCUAGCAGCAAGCAGUUGAGCAUUGCUGCGCAGGCCACAGAGAAAGGCAUUGAGAAGUUACUGUUUCUUAUCAGAUGAAACUGGUAGAUGAAGGGAAAACAGUCAAAUGGCAUAUCAGAAAAUUUGGCUUGAAUUGACUUUGAGCUGACACUAUCCUUACAGACACAGAGUAGUAAGAAAUUUCAAGAUCACUGGUGAUCAGAGCUCUGGUUUUGUGCCUUUCUGCAGGACACAUCUGACAGUACAACUCAUUGCGCUGGCUCAGAGCAAACAGAUCUGUAUACUUAUUGCUCACGUUCUCCAGAAUCAUUAUAUACUGGCUUAGAGGUUUGUUAGUAAACUAGAUCUAGUGGUAUUUCUGUCCAAGUAUCAUGUGAGACUGUCCCUGCUUCAAUCUGACAAUAUUGGUAUGCAGUUUUGUAGCUACAAAGGGCCUUCUAGACCUCCAAAAAUCCCACAGCCAAGCUUGUGUAUAUUCUACUUGUUUAGAGAGAACAGAUAAAGCUUCUUUAUUAGUACAGAAUGAGAUGAAACUGAAGGUUGUGAAUUAAUGGAGGAAAUUCAGUGGGCUUGACUUAAUCAGAUAAAAGUGGGUAUGUUGGUCUCGUGACUAAAUUAAUCACUUCAGUUAGUGAAAAGUAUGUUCUAUACAUCACCACGUUGCCUUUUGGAAGUGCCUAGCAGUGACAUAACAAAGGAUACAAUGAUAGAGAGUCUUUGUACUAUCUGAACUUGUCUCAGCGUUUUCCAAGAAGGAAAUUGAAAGAUGAGGUAUUCUUCAUACUUCGAUCUUACUGCAUUGUGGAUGCCCAGGGUUCCUUCAGAAGAGGUGAGCUGAAUCUCAUGUCACUUGCGGAUAGCACAAGUGUCCUCCCAUGCUGAACGGUCUUUCGAGCAAAAGUGAGAGGAGUGGGUGUCCCGAGGCUGGGUCCUGACCUGGAAAGCACCUCUGUUGUUAUUUCUGGCUGUGGAAUAGAGGCAGAGCCCCCCAACAAACCAGCGUUUUGGACUAUGACUAGGAAGAAAAUUCCGUUCAGCUUCCUUGC
This 1271-nucleotide long non-coding RNA is filed under the name Anser brachyrhynchus (Pink-footed goose). RNAcentral describes it as "lncRNA (ENSABRG00000006720.1)". The record is from RNAcentral. Lineage: Eukaryota; Metazoa; Chordata; Aves; Anseriformes; Anatidae.